CAUGCAAGUCGAGCGGUAACAUUUCUAGCUUGCUAGAAGAUGACGAGCGGCGGACGGGUGAGUAAUGCUUGGGAAUAUGCCUUAGGGUGGGGGACAACAGUUGGAAACGACUGCUAAUACCGCAUAACGUCUACGGACCAAAGGGGGCUUCGGCUCUCGCCCUUAGAUUAGCCCAAGUGGGAUUAGCUAGUUGGUGAGGUAAUGGCUCACCAAGGCGACGAUCCCUAGCUGGUUUGAGAGGAUGAUCAGCCACACUGGAACUGAGACACGGUCCAGACUCCUACGGGAGGCAGCAGUGGGGAAUAUUGCACAAUGGGCGCAAGCCUGAUGCAGCCAUGCCGCGUGUGUGAAGAAGGCCUUAGGGUUGUAAAGCACUUUCAGUUGUGAGGAAAGGUUAGUAGUUAAUACCUGCUAGCUGUGACGUUACUUACAGAAGAAGCACCGGCUAACUCCGUGCCAGCAGCCGCGGUAAUACGGAGGGUGCGAGCGUUAAUCGGAAUUACUGGGCGUAAAGCGUACGCAGGCGGUUUGUUAAGCGAGAUGUGAAAGCCCCGGGCUCAACCUGGGAACUGCAUUUGGAACUGGCAAACUAGAGUAUGA
RNAcentral lists this ribosomal RNA (600 nucleotides) under uncultured Gammaproteobacteria bacterium. RNAcentral's name for it is "bacterial SSU rRNA". It matches the Rfam family "Bacterial small subunit ribosomal RNA", at positions 54 to 651 of the family's 1533-position model. Lineage: Bacteria; Pseudomonadati; Pseudomonadota; Gammaproteobacteria. The record is from RNAcentral.